UACGGAGGGGGCGAGCGUUAUUCGGAAUUAUUGGGCGUAAAGGGCGCGUAGGCGGCUGUACAAGUCAAAGGUGAAAUCCCUCGGCUCAACUGAGGAACUGCCUUUGAAACUGUACGGCUUGAGGCCGGGAGGGGGUAGCGGAAUUCCCAGUGUAGCGGUGAAAUGCGUAGAUAUAGGGAAGAACACCAAUAAAGGCGAAGGCAGUUAACUAGUCUAUUCCUGACAUUGAGGCAUGAAAGCGUGGGGAGCAAAACGG
This 256-nucleotide ribosomal RNA is filed under the name uncultured bacterium. RNAcentral's name for it is "partial 16S ribosomal RNA". It matches the Rfam family "Bacterial small subunit ribosomal RNA", at positions 524 to 776 of the family's 1533-position model. The record is from RNAcentral.